UAACUAUUGAAAAUUAAGUAAAUAGCAUAAUCACUCGACUAUUGCGGAUGUUACAUUCCAAAAUCCCCAUGAUAGGUGAAAAUCC
Long non-coding RNA from Octopus sinensis (East Asian common octopus), 85 nucleotides. RefSeq lists it as uncharacterized. The record is from RefSeq and is a predicted model, not a curated record. Lineage: Eukaryota; Metazoa; Mollusca; Cephalopoda; Octopoda; Octopodidae. The transcript has 3 exons.